AUUUCUUUGGCUUGCAAAUACGCAUACAAGAACACUAGCCCAGGAAGAUACUUGAAGAUGAAUAUUUUCUUUCGCGACUGCAAAUCCGGGAGAAGAGGUUAGCUAAAGGUGGAAUUCUCUUAGCUGCUACACUUAAUUUCGUAGUGGAGAAUCACAAACAGAAGACAAACAUCUCUAGUUUAGAAAGAGUAUGAUAACUUCCAUCAGGAAAAUAGGUAAAAUAGUUAAAUAUUUAUAUAUUCGGGUGAAUUUGCAUGCUUAGCUUCAUUGUACCUUUAUUUUGGGGAUUAAGGUUCUGUUUUUUAAUUUUUGGCAAAUUCUUCAUAUUACACUCUUA
Spinacia oleracea (spinach) is the source of this 337-nucleotide long non-coding RNA. RefSeq lists it as uncharacterized. The record is from RefSeq and is a predicted model, not a curated record. Lineage: Eukaryota; Viridiplantae; Streptophyta; Magnoliopsida; Caryophyllales; Amaranthaceae. The transcript is spliced from 2 exons.